Molecule: ribosomal RNA, 253 nt
Filed under: uncultured bacterium
Lineage: Bacteria
Description: partial 16S ribosomal RNA
Rfam family: Bacterial small subunit ribosomal RNA
Source: RNAcentral
UACGUAGGGCGCAAGCGUUGUCCGGAAUUAUUGGGCGUAAAGAGCUCGUAGGCGGUUUGUCGCGUCUGCUGUGAAAACCUGAGGCUCAACCUCGGGCUUGCAGUGGGUACGGGCAGACUAGAGUGCGGUAGGGGUGACUGGAAUUCCUGGUGUAGCGGUGGAAUGCGCAGAUAUCAGGAGGAACACCGGUGGCGAAGGCGGGUCUCUGGGCAACAACUGACGCUGAGGAGCGAAAGCGUGGGGAGCGAACAGG